RNAcentral lists this ribosomal RNA (2900 nucleotides) under Klebsiella pneumoniae. RNAcentral describes it as "bacterial LSU rRNA". It matches the Rfam family "Bacterial large subunit ribosomal RNA". The record is from RNAcentral. Lineage: Bacteria; Pseudomonadati; Pseudomonadota; Gammaproteobacteria; Enterobacterales; Enterobacteriaceae.
UUAAGCGACUAAGCGUACACGGUGGAUGCCCUGGCAGUCAGAGGCGAUGAAGGACGUGCUAAUCUGCGAAAAGCGUCGGUAAGGUGAUAUGAACCGUUAUAGCCGGCGAUGUCCGAAUGGGGAAACCCAGUGUGAUUCGUCACACUAUCGUUAACUGAAUACAUAGGUUAACGAGGCGAACCGGGGGAACUGAAACAUCUAAGUACCCCGAGGAAAAGAAAUCAACCGAGAUUCCCCCAGUAGCGGCGAGCGAACGGGGAGCAGCCCAGAGUCUGAAUCAGCUUGUGUGUUAGUGGAACGGUCUGGAAAGUCCGACGGUACAGGGUGAUAGUCCCGUACACCAAAAUGCACAGGUUGUGAACUCGAAGAGUAGGGCGGGACACGUGGUAUCCUGUCUGAAUAUGGGGGGACCAUCCUCCAAGGCUAAAUACUCCUGACUGACCGAUAGUGAACCAGUACCGUGAGGGAAAGGCGAAAAGAACCCCGGCGAGGGGAGUGAAAAAGAACCUGAAACCGUGUACGUACAAGCAGUGGGAGCACCUUCGGGUGUGACUGCGUACCUUUUGUAUAAUGGGUCAGCGACUUAUAUUCUGUAGCAAGGUUAACCGUAUAGGGGAGCCGCAGGGAAACCGAGUCUUAACUGGGCGUUAAGUUGCAGGGUAUAGACCCGAAACCCGGUGAUCUAGCCAUGGGCAGGUUGAAGGUUGGGUAACACUAACUGGAGGACCGAACCGACUAAUGUUGAAAAAUUAGCGGAUGACUUGUGGCUGGGGGUGAAAGGCCAAUCAAACCGGGAGAUAGCUGGUUCUCCCCGAAAGCUAUUUAGGUAGCGCCUCGUGAAUUCAUCUUCGGGGGUAGAGCACUGUUUCGGCUAGGGGGUCAUCCCGACUUACCAACCCGAUGCAAACUACGAAUACCGAAGAAUGUUAUCACGGGAGACACACGGCGGGUGCUAACGUCCGUCGUGAAGAGGGAAACAACCCAGACCGCCAGCUAAGGUCCCAAAGUCAUGGUUAAGUGGGAAACGAUGUGGGAAGGCACAGACAGCCAGGAUGUUGGCUUAGAAGCAGCCAUCAUUUAAAGAAAGCGUAAUAGCUCACUGGUCGAGUCGGCCUGCGCGGAAGAUGUAACGGGGCUAAACCAUGCACCGAAGCUGCGGCAGCGACACUAUGUGUUGUUGGGUAGGGGAGCGUUCUGUAAGCCUGCGAAGGUGUGCUGUGAGGCAUGCUGGAGGUAUCAGAAGUGCGAAUGCUGACAUAAGUAACGAUAAAGCGGGUGAAAAGCCCGCUCGCCGGAAGACCAAGGGUUCCUGUCCAACGUUAAUCGGGGCAGGGUGAGUCGACCCCUAAGGCGAGGCCGAAAGGCGUAGUCGAUGGGAAACAGGUUAAUAUUCCUGUACUUGGUGUUACUGCGAAGGGGGGACGGAGAAGGCUAUGUUAGCCGGGCGACGGUUGUCCCGGUUUAAGCAUGUAGGCUGAUUAUCCAGGCAAAUCCGGAUAAUCAAGGCUGAGGUGUGAUGACGAGGCACUACGGUGCUGAAGUAACAAAUGCCCUGCUUCCAGGAAAAGCCUCUAAGCAUCAGGUAACAUCAAAUCGUACCCCAAACCGACACAGGUGGUCAGGUAGAGAAUACCAAGGCGCUUGAGAGAACUCGGGUGAAGGAACUAGGCAAAAUGGUGCCGUAACUUCGGGAGAAGGCACGCUGGUGUGUAGGUGAAGUCCCUGCGGAUGGAGCUGAGACCAGUCGAAGAUACCAGCUGGCUGCAACUGUUUAUUAAAAACACAGCACUGUGCAAACACGAAAGUGGACGUAUACGGUGUGACGCCUGCCCGGUGCCGGAAGGUUAAUUGAUGGGGUUAUCCGUAAGGAGAAGCUCUUGAUCGAAGCCCCGGUAAACGGCGGCCGUAACUAUAACGGUCCUAAGGUAGCGAAAUUCCUUGUCGGGUAAGUUCCGACCUGCACGAAUGGCGUAAUGAUGGCCAGGCUGUCUCCACCCGAGACUCAGUGAAAUUGAACUCGCUGUGAAGAUGCAGUGUACCCGCGGCAAGACGGAAAGACCCCGUGAACCUUUACUAUAGCUUGACACUGAACAUUGAGCCUUGAUGUGUAGGAUAGGUGGGAGGCUUUGAAGCGUGGACGCCAGUCUGCGUGGAGCCAACCUUGAAAUACCACCCUUUAAUGUUUGAUGUUCUAACGUUGGCCCCUGACCGGGGUUGCGGACAGUGUCUGGUGGGUAGUUUGACUGGGGCGGUCUCCUCCCAAAGCGUAACGGAGGAGCACGAAGGUUAGCUAAUCCUGGUCGGACAUCAGGAGGUUAGUGCAAUGGCAUAAGCUAGCUUGACUGCGAGCGUGACGGCGCGAGCAGGUGCGAAAGCAGGUCAUAGUGAUCCGGUGGUUCUGAAUGGAAGGGCCAUCGCUCAACGGAUAAAAGGUACUCCGGGGAUAACAGGCUGAUACCGCCCAAGAGUUCAUAUCGACGGCGGUGUUUGGCACCUCGAUGUCGGCUCAUCACAUCCUGGGGCUGAAGUAGGUCCCAAGGGUAUGGCUGUUCGCCAUUUAAAGUGGUACGCGAGCUGGGUUUAGAACGUCGUGAGACAGUUCGGUCCCUAUCUGCCGUGGGCGCUGGAGAAUUGAGGGGGGCUGCUCCUAGUACGAGAGGACCGGAGUGGACGCAUCACUGGUGUUCGGGUUGUCAUGCCAAUGGCACUGCCCGGUAGCUAAAUGCGGAAGAGAUAAGUGCUGAAAGCAUCUAAGCACGAAACUUGCCCCGAGAUGAGUUCUCCCUGAGACUUUAAGUCUCCUGAAGGAACGUUAAAGACGAUGACGUUGAUAGGCCGGGUGUGUAAGCGCAGCGAUGCGUUGAGCUAACCGGUACUAAUGAACCGUGAGGCUUAACCUU